This is a long non-coding RNA of Xiphophorus hellerii (green swordtail), 197 nucleotides long. RefSeq lists it as uncharacterized. The transcript has 3 exons. Lineage: Eukaryota; Metazoa; Chordata; Actinopteri; Cyprinodontiformes; Poeciliidae. The record is from RefSeq and is a predicted model, not a curated record.
CCGCAGGCCGCCAUAGGGCCGCGUAACUAGUUGGCAGGCCGGAAUCUCGUUCGUUAUCGGAAUUAACCAGACAAAUCGCUCCACCAACUAAGAACGGCCAUGCACCACCACCCACAGAAUCGAGAAAGAGCCAUCAAUCUGUCAAUCCUUUCCGUGUCCGGGCCGGGUGAGCGGAACAGAACAGCUCUGAAGUCCAG